AAAAAGAUAAGCUAUAUAAGCUUUUGGGCUCAUACCCCAACGAAAGUGAGAACACUUCUUUUUA
This 64-nucleotide transfer RNA is filed under the name Smilium sinense. RNAcentral's name for it is "tRNA-Met". The record is from RNAcentral. Lineage: Eukaryota; Metazoa; Arthropoda; Thecostraca; Calanticomorpha; Calanticidae.